UGGAUCUAGACUUUGAUUAUGGCUCAGGAUGAACGCUAGCUACAGGCUUAACACAUGCAAGUCGAGGGGCAGCAUGGAGUUUGCUUGCAAACUUUGAUGGCGACCGGCGAAUGGGUGAGUAACACGUAUCCGACCUGCCCGUUACUAGGGGAUAGCCCUCCGAAAGGAGAAUUAAUACCCUAUGUUAUGCAGAUGUUGCAUGGCAUUUGCAUUAAAGAUUUAUCGGUAAUGGAUGGGGAUGCGUCUGAUUAGGUAGUAGGUGAGGUAACGGCUCACCUAGCCGACGAUCGGUAGGGGUUCUGAGAGGAAGGUCCCCCACAUUGGAACUGAGACACGGUCCAAACUCCUACGGGAGGCAGCAGUGAGGAAUAUUGGUCAAUGGGCGUAAGCCUGAACCAGCCAAGUAGCGUGAAGGAAGACUGCCCUAUGGGUUGUAAACUUCUUUUAUACGGGAAUAAAGUCAGCCACGUGUGGUUGUUUGCAUGUACCGUAAGAAAAAGCAUCGGCUAAUUCCGUGCCAGCAGCCGCGGUAAUACGGAAGAUGCGAGCGUUAUCCGGAUUUAUUGGGUUUAAAGGGAGCGUAGGCGGAGAGACAAGUCAGUUGUGAAAGUUUGCGGCUCAACCGUAAAAUUGCAGUUGAAACUGUUUUUCUUGAGUGCACAUGAGGGUGGUGGAAUUCGUAGUGUAGCGGUGAAAUGCUUAGAUAUUACGAAGAACUCCGAUUGCGAAGGCAGCUAUCUGGGGUGCAACUGACGCUGAGGCUCGAAAGUGUGGGUAUCAAACAGGCUUAGAUACCCUGGUAGUCCACACGGUAAACGAUGGAUACUCGUGGUUGGCGAUAUAAUGUCAGUCACCAAGCGAAAGCGAUAAGUAUCCCACCUGGGGAGUACGCUGGCAACAGUGCAACUCAAAUGAAUUGACGGA
RNAcentral lists this ribosomal RNA (924 nucleotides) under uncultured Bacteroidota bacterium. RNAcentral describes it as "bacterial SSU rRNA". It matches the Rfam family "Bacterial small subunit ribosomal RNA", at positions 1 to 917 of the family's 1533-position model. The record is from RNAcentral. Lineage: Bacteria; Pseudomonadati; Bacteroidota.